AUCCUCGAGAAUUGGAUAAUCCCUUCAGGGAAUUGGGUACCAGAGAGGGUUUUUCUGUUUGACCGCCAACACAAUCAGAAAAAUUCUGCCUAGUUUUCUUUAACCCCAAAGUGAUUAUCUGGUUCUCAAGGAUUAACAAAAUUCAGCUUCUAUAAGUGUCUAUAUGCACUAGACUAAAACAAAGUUCAGAACCUAAAAUUUUAUGGUGCUGAUUUCUACUUGUAAACUAGAUAUGGCAAUGCUUCUUUAAUGUCCUGAUUUUUAAAUAUAUUUGCAGGAGGCUUCUGAUUUAAGGUACCCGUUCUGAUAAGACUUGGCUAAGUAAUUGCACAUCCUUCACUGCCUGGCCUCAUAGAAAAUUGGGUACAUGUUAAACAUAACAUCAUGAUAUUAUUUUUUUAUGCCCCACCUACGAUAGUAGAGGGGCAUUAUGUUUUCUGGUCUGUGCCUCCGUUCGUUCGUCGUCUGUGCGUCCGUUGCUUCAGGUUAAAGUUUUUGGUCAAGGUAGUUUUUGAAGAAGUUGAAGUCCAAUCAACUUGAAACUUAGUACACAUGUUCAUCAUGAUAUGAUCUUUCUAAUUUUAAUGCCAAAUUAUAGUUUUGACC
This 606-nucleotide long non-coding RNA is filed under the name Mytilus galloprovincialis (Mediterranean mussel). The record is from RNAcentral. Lineage: Eukaryota; Metazoa; Mollusca; Bivalvia; Mytilida; Mytilidae.